UCUUNCNNNUUUUGGCCCCNUUGNCAUCUAGCNCGGUANCCNGGGNAUCCNAUGAUCCAAGCUUAAGGAGGUGAUCCAGCCGCACCUUCCGAUACGGCUACCUUGUUACGACUUCACCCCAGUCAUCGGUCUUACCUUAGGAAGCGCCCUCCUUGCGGUUAGGCAACCUACUUCGGGUACUCCCAACUCCCGUGGUGUGACGGGCGGUGUGUACAAGGCCCGGGAACGUAUUCACCGCGGCGUGCUGAUCCGCGAUUACUAGCGAUUCCGACUUCAUGUAGGCGAGUUGCAGCCUACAAUCCGAACUGAGAAUGGUUUUAAGAGAUUAGCUAAACAUCACUGUCUCGCGACUCGUUGUACCAUCCAUUGUAGCACGUGUGUAGCCCAGGUCAUAAGGGGCAUGAUGAUUUGACGUCAUCCCCACCUUCCUCCGGUUUAUCACCGGCAGUCUCGUUGGAGUGCCCAACUUAAUGAUGGCAACUAACAAUAGGGGUUGCGCUCGUUGCGGGACUUAACCCAACAUCUCACGACACGAGCUGACGACAACCCAUGCACCACCUGUAUCCCCGUGUCCCCGAANGAACUUCCUAUCUCCUAGGAAAUAGCACGAAUUAUGUCAAGAACCUGGUUAAGGUUCUUCCGCGUUUGCU
This 650-nucleotide ribosomal RNA is filed under the name uncultured bacterium. RNAcentral describes it as "partial 16S ribosomal RNA". The record is from RNAcentral.